CGUUUCACAUUAAAGCAAAACCCAGCCCCGGAUAAAUAAGUCAGCCAUUCCAGUGGAUUCCUGCCUGCAGAGGGCCUCUCAGUCAGCUUGGUGCCUGCAGUCUGCCGCCAAGAUCCCAAGUCCUGUGACCCAGGCAGAGGUUCUGGGAGGAGCCGACGGCCAUCUCUUUCACCAGGAGAACCAAGUAGCUCCCUUAACCUCAGCCUCAUGACCAUGUUUCAGCACUGUCUUAGACUUGGCUUUUCAGACUCAGUUCUGCUUCACACACUCAGUUCUGCGAUCACGCGAGGAAGGGAGCUUAUUAGUAAAUCCGUGUGGAGACCACAGCCCACACCAUCAGUGAGAAUCAGC
Long non-coding RNA from Mus musculus (house mouse), 351 nucleotides. RefSeq annotates it as RIKEN cDNA 5830408C22 gene. Lineage: Eukaryota; Metazoa; Chordata; Mammalia; Rodentia; Muridae. The record is from RefSeq and is marked validated. The transcript is spliced from 2 exons.